CGGCGGACGGGUGAGUAACACGUGGAUAACCUACCUAUAAGACUGGGAUAACUUCGGGAAACCGGAGCUAAUACCGGAUAAUAUAUUGAACCGCAUGGUUAAAUAGUGAAAGACGGUUUUGCUGUCACUUAUAGAUGGAUCCGCGCUGCAUUAGCUAGUUGGUAAGGUAACGGCUUACCAAGGCAACGAUGCGUAGCCGACCUGAGAGGGUGAUCGGCCACACUGGAACUGAGACACGGUCCAGACUCCUACGGGAGGCAGCAGCC
Molecule: ribosomal RNA, 266 nt
Filed under: uncultured Staphylococcus sp.
Lineage: Bacteria; Bacillati; Bacillota; Bacilli; Caryophanales; Staphylococcaceae
Description: partial 16S ribosomal RNA
Rfam family: Bacterial small subunit ribosomal RNA
Source: RNAcentral